RNAcentral lists this ribosomal RNA (495 nucleotides) under uncultured Sphingobacteriales bacterium. RNAcentral's name for it is "bacterial SSU rRNA". It matches the Rfam family "Bacterial small subunit ribosomal RNA", at positions 904 to 1382 of the family's 1533-position model. The record is from RNAcentral. Lineage: Bacteria; Pseudomonadati; Bacteroidota; Sphingobacteriia; Sphingobacteriales.
GCCAGCCCGCUCAGAAACUUAAGGAAUUGACGGGGGCCCGCACAAGCGGUGGAGCAUGUGGUUUAAUUCGAUGAUACGCGAGGAACCUUACCUGGGCUCAAAUGUAUGUUGACGUAUUCUGAAAGGGAUACUUCUUCGGACAAUAUACAAGGUGCUGCAUGGUUGUCGUCAGCUCGUGCCGUGAGGUGUCGGGUUAAGUCCCAUAACGAGCGCAACCCCUAUCAUUAGUUGCCAUCAGGUCAAGCUGGGGACUCUAAUGAAACUGCCUACGCAAGUAGUGAGGAAGGUGGGGAUGACGUCAAAUCAGCACGGCCCUUACGUCCAGGGCUACACACGUGCUACAAUGGCCGGUACAAAGGGCAGCUACCUGGUGACAGGAUGCUAAUCUCAAAAGCCGGUCUCAGUUCGGAUCGGAGUCUGCAACCCGACUCCGUGAAGUUGGAAUCGCUAGUAAUCGCGCAUCAGCAUGGCGCGGUGAAUACGUUCCCGGGCCUU